UUUUUUUUGUUCUUUUUUUUUAUUGGAAACCAUUUACUUGUUUGUUCAUUUGGGGACUUCAUUGUGAAAUUGCUUUGGUUAGGGUUUAGUUGUUUUGCUGUUUUUGUAACUAUUGGAAUUAAUAUAACUGAGCUUUCGAUUUACUAAAGUUUAGCGAUUGGAGUUCUAAUUGCGGAUAAGAGUUUCUUAAUGUCGGUGUUCUUGUUUUUGCUUUUGUUGUUGGGGAAAUGGCUUUCUUUUAACUUCUGCCUGGUCUGGGAUUAAGCUUAGUUGUUGUCGUUGUCUAGUGUAUGCUGUGGGAGGGUUUUUUUCUCCCCCCUGCUUGAUUAUGCUUAGUGCCUGAAAUUUAUUGUUUAUAUGAAUUGAAGAUAGCAAUUAAUUUUAGUAAAAGCUGCACUUUUUUUAAUCAAUUGCUUGGUUGCUUUUAUUUGUUUUUAUGUGAAGAAACUUUUUUUCUUUAUUAGAUGAUGCAUCUACUUGUUUUUUGAAUAGAGGCAAAUGGGGGAGCGCCUGAUAAGCAGCGGGAAACCGUUCCUAAAGAUCCACCCGGAAUACAAGGUUCAGCUGCCAAUGAAAUUGAUAAUCCAGGUGGUAGUUAUGACAGGGGUGGGCUUACUGAACUGGAGCUAAUUCUGAAGCAGAAGACAUUUACAAGGUCUGAGAUUGAUAGAUUGAUGGCUCUGCUGCAAUCAAGAACUGUUGAUGUUGAUCUGCCUCUUGGGAAUCAGGGAGAGAAGUCUGAAGCGAUCCCUUCAAAAGGUUUUUUAUCCCCAGAUAGGAAGGAGUAUCCAAAUACGCCAAUUAAAGACAAUGGACUUGAGAACCCCCACAUUUCAACUCCCAAUGUCCUUGAUGAGGAUGUUGCUUCACCUGCGGAGCUUGCAAAAGCUUACAUGGGUAGCAGGCCUUCAAAAAUAUCCCCAUCAGUGCUGGGUUUGUGCAGUCGACCGACUGCGGAGCAUUCAAUUGCGCAGAUUGAUCGACUGUUCCCUUCAAAGUCCCCGAUCAUGUCAGUUGUGCCAAGGUCUUCACGUCAUGUUGUAUCUGUUGAAAAUGGUUUUGUCACGCCAAGAUCUCGUGGUCGUUCUGCUAUUUACAGCAUGGCUCGAACACCAUAUUCCAGAGUUCACUCAACCUCUACCCUUCAGGGUGCUGGGACAGAAACUAAUGUUCUUGGUGCGCCAUCAUUUUCAUCUCAAGGCAUCUGGGGGAACAACAGAUUUUCUGGAUCUAAACAAGGGGCUUUAAAGCGAAGGAGUUCAGCUCUGGAUAAUGAUAUAGGAUCUGUUGGUCCUAUACGCCGAAUUCGUCAGAAAUCUAACCUCCUGCCUUCUUCUAGCACUCUUUCUAUCCGUGGAACUGGCCUUGGUUCUGAUGCUGCUCAACAACCAUCCUCGUCACAGAAGCUAGUUGUAGCAAGCGAAGUAUCUAUAGAAAAUGAUGAUAAUAGUAUUCAUGGUUCUAGUUCUACCUCUGUCCCCUCUAAGUCCAGUGAGAUGGCUUCAAAGAUAUUGCAGCAACUGGAUGUGUUAGUCUCAUCAAGGGAGAAGUCACCUACUAAGUUGUCACCAUCCAUGCUACGUGGACCAGCUCUUAGAAGCCUCGAGAAUGUAGAUUCUUCAAAAUUUCUGGAGACUGUUCAAGAUAAUAAUAAGACAGAUGUUAAACGUGAUGCCUCACUACCUGAUGUACGAGAUUCUCUGUCUCAAGAGCAAGAUAAGGUUGAGGAAAAUGGUCCAAAGAAGCUCAGUGUGUCUUAUGAAAAGUUAGCUUCUGCAGUAAAUGGUAUAGAUCCCACAAAUUUGGUGAAGAAUAAUAUGUCUGAUUUCAAAAAUAUAUCUUUUCCCAUGGUGAAUUCUGUUGCCCAGCCCCCUUUGCAGAAGAAAUGGGCUUUCCAGAUGAGUGCACAUGAGGAUUAUCUGGAGCUUGAUGAUGAUGACCAUUUUGAUAGGAGUGCAUCUGCUGUGUUGGCUGAAGAGAAACAGAAGCUGGAUACCACUUUAGUUGAAAGUAAGACCAGUUCUGCUGAGGCCAUUACAUCAGAGAAGCCUGCAGCUUUUUCUCAAGCCAAACCUGAAGCAAGUUCCAUAUUCAACCAAAAAACUCCAGUAGCUUCUGAUGGGUCUGCAUUUACUGAAAAGAACAGUGGAUUUUCUGUUCCAUCUGCUGCACCUUUGCCCAGUGUAACUGUCCAGCACGCUGUUGUUGUGGACAAGCAGGCAACUGUAACAUCUGAUAAAGCUUCAUCACCAAAUGAAUUAAGUGCUGCUCCUCCUAUACUUAACUUUGGGGACAAAAUUGUUUCUCCCAAGGAACCAAAUGGUAUCCCUUCUAUAUCUAAUUUCAGCUCUAAAACUGUGGGUGUAGUACCACUGUUCACAUUUGCUUCCACUUCAUCAGUUGUGAGUGAGACUGCAGGCCUAAAGUUUGGUACUUCAAACCCUAGAUCAGAAAGCUCAAGCAGCUUUGCUUUUAAUGCUGUUGAUGCAACAAAGUCUGGUACAAAAGAGCCUGAGUCAGACAAAACUGAUAAUAUAAACAGUUUGAAGGCUGGUGUCUUCAGUUCAAAUGAAACCUUGUCUUCUUCUGUAUCAACUUCCUCACCUGCAACAGGCAUAUUUUCAUUUGGCAUGGGUACCAAUACUUCAAGUUUAAACGGGUCUCUUGUAGAUUCUAUACAUUCAUUUUCUUCCCCUGAUCCAACUCUAGUUUCUGAUAAAAUUGUUGGCCAAAAUUCAUCUAGCAGCUAUAGCAACACAGUUGUUGACAGUGGUGCCAUUACCUCUACCUCUGCUAUGGCUACUACAGGUCCGAACACCAACAGCAGUAGCAACGUUUCUGUGUCGGCUUCAGCACCUUCCUAUGAAUCUAGACCUGCUUUCAAAUUUGGUUCCUCAUCCACUCCCAACUCAUCAAUAGCAGCAACUAGUGGUGUAGAAUUGACAGAAAUCAGGAAGGAAACAAGCUUUGGCAAUCUAAUGAGUGCUCCUUUUGCCAGUACAUCCUCUGUGGUUACAAGCACUGGGGGCAGUCUUUUUGGUGGUACAUCCUCUGCAAUGAUGAGCACAGGAAGUAUUGUUUUAGAUGGUACAUCAUCUGCAGUUGCCAGCACUGGAAGUAGCACUUUAUUUGCUACAUCCUCUUCUGUUACAAGCACAGGCAAUGGUAUUUUUAGUUUUAAUGCUGGAUCAAAUACUUCAGCCGCAGCUGCAACUAAUCAAUCUCAGGGUUUUAAUCCUUUUGGUGCCACUAGCGCUCAGGAAUCUGGAUCUGUAUUUGCUGCUACAACUCAGAGCAUGCCCAUUCAAUUUAGCUCAUCUGCAUCAUCUCCUUUUGGGUUGACUGCGAAUAUGACCUUUUCUUCUGGAAGUUCCUUAUUUAGUUCGUCAAAUAAUAUGAAUAAACUUUUCAGUUCUGGUGCUACUUUUGGACUGACUUCUACUUCUUCAGAGACUAACACUGUUGGCUCUGCUAGUAGCUCUAUGUCAACAGGGUUUGGUUCUAGCUGGCAAACACCUAAAUCUCCCAUUUUUACUUCUGCAUCUUCCUCUACUGGGUUUGCGUAUGGAGCAUCCUCAGCUUCUAAUGCUACUAGCACCACAUCCAUCAUGUUUGGAUCAUCUGCUUCAUCUGGUUCUAUUUUUUCCUUAAGCUCACCUGCAGCAUCUACUCCAUCACAACCUGUGUUUGGUAGCCCAAAUCCUGCCUUCGCAUUUGGGUCAUCUCCAGCGGGUAAUAGUGAUCAAAUGAACAUGGAGGAUAGCAUGGCUGAGGACACUGUUCAGGCAACCACAUCUACAGUUCCUUUGUUUGAUCAACAACCGGUUGCACCUCCAUCUUCUGGCUUUGUUUUUGGCUCUACGGCUCCAUCAGGAGGGAAUCAAUUUGGCUCAACAGCUCCCUCUGGAGCAAAUCCUUUUCAAUUUGCAAGCCAGUCGAAUCUGGCAGCAUCACAGAACCAAUCUCCAUUCCAGGCUUCUGGUAGUCUAGAGCUCAAUGCAGGAGGGAGCUUCUCAUUGGGCACUGGUGGUGGUGAAAAGUCUGGCAGAAAAUUUUUGAGAGUCAGAAAAACGCAGCGGAAGAAGUGAACAUCAAUCAUUGAUGCUAAGUUGCUUUUCUCAUUGCAGUCCCUGGACAGUUGCGAUUGAUAGACAAAUAAUUAUAAUGAUGGGAGAUGAACAGCAUUGAUGUGUUCUUGCUGUUAAUCACCCAGAUUAUUCAGUGAUGAUGCAGGCAAAACCAUCCUUUGAGGCUCUGGGAAUGUGCUGAUUCUGUAUGGUCUCUAAUUAGUCUUCUUGGGGGCGAAUUUUAUGGUUGCAAGGCAGACAUAGGUUGUCACAAUUUUGUACCAGUUUUCCUUAGCAAAUCUAAGAAUAUUUGUGCUGUAGUAGUUGUAGCUCAGGAUUUAUUACUGGGCAAUUUGCUAGCUACUGUGUUCUCUGUACUUGUCAUAUGUAAUGUAACAUAAAGAGAAAUUGAUGUGAAUUUGCUUAAGAAAAGGUACCUUUACUGGUUGCAAGCGUGUGCUGUUUUGGUUGAUCCAUGGUUAAAUCUUAAGCCAAACGUACAGAAUUGAUGGAUGCUGUGGGUGAUCAGAUCAACUGCUGUGCUUCGAUACAGUUAAUUUGUUGGUGUUGAUCUUGAUUUGUUUGUGUGAAUUGUA
Molecule: unclassified non-coding RNA, 4663 nt
Filed under: Hevea brasiliensis (rubber tree)
Lineage: Eukaryota; Viridiplantae; Streptophyta; Magnoliopsida; Malpighiales; Euphorbiaceae
Source: RNAcentral